RNAcentral lists this ribosomal RNA (402 nucleotides) under bacterium. RNAcentral's name for it is "partial 16S ribosomal RNA". It matches the Rfam family "Bacterial small subunit ribosomal RNA", at positions 355 to 776 of the family's 1533-position model. The record is from RNAcentral.
UGGGGAAUUUUGCACAAUGGGGGAAACCCUGAUGCAGCGACGCCGCGUGAUUUAGAAGGCCUUCGGGUUGUAAAAAUCUUUUCUAUGGGAAGAAAAUGACAGUACCAUAGGAAUAAGGACCGGCUAAUUACGUGCCAGCAGCCGCGGUAAUACGUAAGGUCCGAGCGUUGUCCGGAAUCAUUGGGCGUAAAGGGUACGUAGGCGGUUAAGCAAGUUAGAAGUGAAAUCCUAUAGCUCAACUAUAGUAAGCUUUUAAAACUGCUCAUCUUGAGGUAUGGAAGGGAAAGUGGAAUUCCUAGUGUAGCGGUGAAAUGCGCAGAUAUUAGGAGGAAUACCGGUGGCGAAGGCGACUUUCUGGCCAUAACCUGACGCUGAGGUACGAAAGCGUGGGUAGCAAACAGG